Molecule: non-coding RNA, 21 nt
Organism: Caenorhabditis elegans
Lineage: Eukaryota; Metazoa; Nematoda; Chromadorea; Rhabditida; Rhabditidae
Source: Ensembl
CACUAAUCCAACACCUACGAU